This 813-nucleotide ribosomal RNA is filed under the name Pythium sp. SHT-2010a. RNAcentral describes it as "LSU rRNA". It matches the Rfam family "Eukaryotic large subunit ribosomal RNA", at positions 1 to 665 of the family's 3401-position model. Lineage: Eukaryota; Oomycota; Peronosporomycetes; Pythiales; Pythiaceae. The record is from RNAcentral.
UCUGCAGAUUCGCCCUUACCCGCUGAUUUAAGCAUAUUAAUAAGCGGAGGAAAAGAAACUAACAAGGAUUCCCCUAGUAACGGCGAGUGAAGCGGGAUGAGCUCAAGCUUAAAAUCUCUGUGCCAGUUUGGCAUGGCGAAUUGUAGUCUAUGGAGGCGCUAUCAGUGCGAUUGUUCGGGGUAAGUUCCUUGGAAGAGGACAGCAUCGAGGGUGAUACUCCCGUAUGUACCUGUUCAGUCGCGCGUACGAUACGUUUUCUUUGAGUCGCGUUGUUUGGGAAUGCAGCGCAAAGUAGGUGGUAAAUUCCAUCUAAAGCUAAAUAUUGGUGCGAGACCGAUAGCGAACAAGUACCGUGAGGGAAAGAUGAAAAGAACUUUGAAAAGAGAGUUAAAGAGUACCUGAAACUGCUGAAAGGGAACCGAAUCGUUUCCAGUGUCUAUAAUCCAUGGUAUAUUUCAUUGGUGCGUAAGUGCGUGCAGCGUUUUGGAAGUAGUUUUCUGCUCCUGUCGUUGUUGUGCAUUUGCUUGCUGGUGCCCUGUGCUGUGGUGGGACGUCAGAGUCAGUUUGUAUGUUGCGGGAAAUGGUUAUUGGGGAGGUAGGUCACUUCGGUGGCUGUUAUAUCCUGAUAACUAGUCGUCGUGGCUGAGACUGAGGUGCCUACAAUGUGCUUUCGAGUCUGCGGGCUUCUCGUGUUGCUGUUUGCUUGGAUAGCUUGCUAUGUUUGUGAAUAAGUCGUGCGAUUGAGACCUGUAGUAACUGUGCCGUUCGGGACUUUGACGAAAUGGAGCGAUCCGACCCGUCUUGAAMCACGGA